GUAGGGAAUCUUCCGCAAUGGACGAAAGUCUGACGGAGCAACGCCGCGUGAGUGAAGAAGGUCUUCGGAUCGUAAAGCUCUGUUGUUAGGGAAGAACAAGUAUCGGAGGAAAUGCCGGUACCUUGACGGUACCUGACGAGAAAGCCACGGCUAACUACGUGCCAGCAGCCGCGGUAAUACGUAGGUGGCAAGCGUUGUCCGGAUUUAUUGGGCGUAAAGCGCGCGCAGGCGGUCCUUUAAGUCUGAUGUGAAAUCUUGCGGCUCAACCGCAAGCGGUCAUUGGAAACUGGGGGACUUGAGUGCAGAAGAGGAAAGCGGAAUUCCACGUGUAGCGGUGAAAUGCGUAGAGAUGUGGAGGAACACCAGUGGCGAAGGCGGCUUUCUGGUCUGUAACUGACGCUGAGGCGCGAAAGCGUGGGGAGCAAACAGGA
Molecule: ribosomal RNA, 431 nt
Filed under: uncultured bacterium
Lineage: Bacteria
Description: bacterial SSU rRNA
Rfam family: Bacterial small subunit ribosomal RNA
Source: RNAcentral